This is a long non-coding RNA of Myotis davidii, 897 nucleotides long. RefSeq lists it as uncharacterized. The record is from RefSeq and is a predicted model, not a curated record. The transcript has 2 exons. NCBI's taxonomy places the organism in Eukaryota, Metazoa, Chordata, Mammalia, Chiroptera, Vespertilionidae.
UGGAAUCGAACUUGGGACUGGAGAUUCUUCAGUCUGUAGGCCAACGCUCUAACCACUGAUCAAACCAGCUAAGGCAAUAGGAAUUCUUUUGAAGGAGCUAAACUCAGAUUAGGUCUCAGAUUAAGGCAUAAUGAGCAAUACUCUCUUUGAUGAGUAGAUAAUGAGGAAUUUUCCUUGGCUUGGAGCAGUAUACAAAUUUGUGCCUGGCAUAGGUGAGGCACUCAUCUGUGAUUAGAGGUAAGGCCUUCUAUGAUGCCCUCAGAACACAAGCAGAGCUACCCAAACUGGAAGUGCAGACACUGGUCCUUGGAGUGGCACAUUUCAGAUACCUGCACUUUGGAAUAGCAGGUCAGAUCUUGUUUUAUGGUGCCACCAGAGGAUUUUCCCUGUCUUUACAUGUCAUGGAAGGCCAUGAAUUUCACCUCAUCUAUUCCUUAUGGCAGUUAUGGACAGGUAAUGAGCAUCUUUACAUGUGCUUGUUUGACAUCCAUCAUUCUCCUUUACUCGUGUGUCCACCCCUCUCCCAUUUAGAUUGUUUGCCUCCUUAUUAUUGACUGGUUAGAGUUCUUUUGUGCAUUCAGCAUACAAGGAUUUAAUCAGAUACAGGGUUUGGAAACACGGUUUCCUAGUCUGUGGCUUUUACUUUUCAUAGCAGUAUCUUUCAGAGACCAGAAGUUUAAAAUUUUUAUUGUCUUAUUUAUUAAUUUUGUCUUUUAUGGUCAUGCUUAUUGUGUCCUAAGAAAUUUUUACCUAAACCAAGGUCACAAAUAUUUUCUAUGUUUUCUCUUAGGAGUUUUAUAGCUUUAGCUCUAACAAUUAGAACUGUUAUCCUUUUAGAGUGAAUUAUUUGUAAAAUCUGUAUGUAUUAAGCUUUAAUAAAAAGUUUUUACAGAAGUU